AUUGAACGCUGGCGGAAUGCUUUACACAUGCAAGUCGAGCGGCAGCGCGGCCUUCGGGCUGGCGGCGAGCGGCGAACGGGUGUGUAAUGCAUCGGAACAUGCCCAGUCGUGGGGGAUAACACUUCGAAAGAAGUGCUAAUACCGCAUACGUCCUGAGGGGGAAAGCGGGGGAUCGCAAGACCUCGCGCGAUUGGAGUGGCCGAUGUCAGAUUAGCUAGUUGGUGGGGUAAAGGCCUACCAAGGCGACGAUCUGUAGCUGGUCUGAGAGGAUGAUCAGCCACACUGGGACUGAGACACGGCCCAGACUCCUACGGGAGGCAGCAGUGGGGAAUUUUGGACAAUGGGGGCAACCCUGAUCCAGCCAUUCCGCGUGAGUGAAGAAGGCCUUCGGGUUGUAAAGCUCUUUCGGCAGGAACGAAACGGUGGGCUCUAACAUAGUCCGCUAAUGACGGUACCUGAAGAAGAAGCACCGGCUAACUACGUG
This 484-nucleotide ribosomal RNA is filed under the name uncultured bacterium. RNAcentral describes it as "partial 16S ribosomal RNA". It matches the Rfam family "Bacterial small subunit ribosomal RNA", at positions 30 to 507 of the family's 1533-position model. The record is from RNAcentral.